UCGGUUGGGGAUGGGCUCGCGGCCUAUCAGUUUGUUGGUGAGGUAAUGGCUCACCAAGACGACGACGGGUAGCCGGCCUGAGAGGGCGACCGGCCACACUGGGACUGAGACACGGCCCAGACUCCUACGGGAGGCAGCAGUGGGGAAUAUUGCACAAUGGGGGAAACCCUGAUGCAGCGACGCAGCGUGCGGGAUGACGGCCUUCGGGUUGUAAACCGCUUUCAGCAGGGAAGAAGCGCAAGUGACGGUACCUGCAGAAGAAGUACCGGCUAACUACGUGCCAGCAGCCGCGGUAAUACGUAGGGUACGAGCGUUGUCCGGAAUUAUUGGGCGUAAAGAGCUCGUAGGUGGUUGGUCACGUCUGCUGUGGAAACGCAACGCUUAACGUUGCGCGUGCAGUGGGUACGGGCUGACUAGAGUGCAGUAGGGGAGUCUGGAAUUCCUGGUGUAGCGGUGAAAUGCGCAGAUAUCAGGAGGAACACCGGUGGCGAAGGCGGGACUCUGGGCUGUAACUGACACUGAGGAGCGAAAGCAUGGGGAGCGAACAGGAUUAGAUACCCUGGUAGUCCAUGCCGUAAACGUUGGGCACUAGGUGUGGGGGGCAUUCCACGUUCUCCGCGCCGUAGCUAACGCAUUAAGUGCCCCGCCUGGGGAGUACGGUCGCAAGGCUAAAACUCAAAGGAAUUGACGGGGGCCCGCACAAGCGGCGGAGCAUGCGGAUUAAUUCGAUGCAACGCGAAGAACCUUACCAAGGCUUGACAUACACCGGACCGUCCUGGAAACAGGUCCUCUUCUUUGAAGCUGGUGUACAGGUGGUGCAUGGUUGUCGUCAGCUCGUGUCGUGAGAUGUUGGGUUAAGUCCCGCAACGAGCGCAACCCUCGUUCUAUGUUGCCAGCACGUGAUGGUGGGAACUCAUAGGAGACUGCCGGGGUCAACUCGGAGGAAGGUGGGGAUGACGUCAAAUCAUCAUGCCCUUUAUGUCUUGGGCUUCACGCAUGC
This 1000-nucleotide ribosomal RNA is filed under the name Brevibacterium sp. RNAcentral describes it as "bacterial SSU rRNA". It matches the Rfam family "Bacterial small subunit ribosomal RNA", at positions 215 to 1225 of the family's 1533-position model. Lineage: Bacteria; Bacillati; Actinomycetota; Actinomycetes; Micrococcales; Brevibacteriaceae. The record is from RNAcentral.